GAUGAACGCUGGCGGCGUGCCUAAUACAUGCAAGUCGAGCGAACAGACGAGGAGCUUACUCCUCUGACGUUAGCGGCGGACGGGUGAGUAACACGUGGAUAACCUACCUAUAAGACUGGGAUAACUUCGGGAAACCGGAGCUAAUACCGGAUAACAUGUUGAACCGCAUGGUUCAACAGUGAAAGACGGUCUUGCUGUCACUUAUAGAUGGAUCCGCGUCGCAUUAGCUAGUUGGUAAGGUAACGGCUUACCAAGGCAGCGAUGCGUAGCCGACCUGAGAGGGUGAUCGGCCACACUGGAACUGAGACACGGUCCAGACUCCUACGGGAGGCAGCAGUAGGGAAUCUUCCGCAAUGGGCGAAAGCCUGACGGAGCAACGCCGCGUGAGUGAAGAAGGUCUUCGGAUCGUAAAACUCUGUUAUUAGGGAAGAACAAAUGUGUAAGUAACUAUGCACGUCUUGACGGUACCUAAUCAGAAAGCCACGGCUAACUACGUG
RNAcentral lists this ribosomal RNA (497 nucleotides) under uncultured bacterium. Its description in RNAcentral is "partial 16S ribosomal RNA". It matches the Rfam family "Bacterial small subunit ribosomal RNA", at positions 28 to 507 of the family's 1533-position model. The record is from RNAcentral.